Molecule: ribosomal RNA, 253 nt
Filed under: uncultured bacterium
Lineage: Bacteria
Description: partial 16S ribosomal RNA
Rfam family: Bacterial small subunit ribosomal RNA
Source: RNAcentral
UACGUAGGGCGCGAGCGUUGUCCGGAAUUAUUGGGCGUAAAGAGCUCGUAGGCGGCCAGUUGCGUCCGCUGUGAAAACCUAGGGCUUAACCCUGGGCCUGCAGUGGAUACGGGCAGACUAGAGGUAGGUAGGGGAGAAUGGAAUUCCCGGUGUAGCGGUGAAAUGCGCAGAUAUCGGGAGGAACACCGGUGGCGAAGGCGGUUCUCUGGGCCUUACCUGACACUGAGGAGCGAAAGCGUGGGGAGCGAACAGG